This 340-nucleotide ribosomal RNA is filed under the name Acidiphilium acidophilum. RNAcentral's name for it is "bacterial SSU rRNA". It matches the Rfam family "Bacterial small subunit ribosomal RNA", at positions 1034 to 1374 of the family's 1533-position model. Lineage: Bacteria; Pseudomonadati; Pseudomonadota; Alphaproteobacteria; Acetobacterales; Acidocellaceae. The record is from RNAcentral.
ACAGGCGCNGCAUGGCUGUCGUCANCNCGUGUCGUGAGAUGUUGGGUUAAGUCCCGCAACGAGCGCAACCCUCGCCAUUAGUUGCCAGCACGUUUGGGUGGNCACUCUAGAGGAACUGCCGGUGACAAGCCGGAGGAAGGUGGGRAUGACGUCAAGUCCUCAUGGCCCUUAUGUCCUGGGCUACACACGUGCUACAAUGGCGGUGACAGUGGGAAGCCAGGCAGCGAUGCCGAGCUGAUCCUGAAAAGCCGUCUCAGUUCGGAUUGCACUCUGCAACUCGGGUGCAUGAAGGUGGAAUCGCUAGUAAUCGCGGAUCAGCAUGCCGCGGUGAAUACGUUCC